Molecule: ribosomal RNA, 522 nt
Filed under: fungal sp. E15622D
Lineage: Eukaryota; Fungi
Description: eukaryotic LSU rRNA
Rfam family: 5.8S ribosomal RNA (bases 179-332)
Source: RNAcentral
AUUGCUGGAACGCGCUUCGGCGCACCCAGAAACCCUUUGUGAACUUAUACCUAUUUGUUGCCUCGGCGUAGGCCGGCCUCUUCACUGAGGCCCCCUGGAAACAGGGAGCAGCCCGCCGGCGGCCAACUAAACUCUUGUUUCUAUAGUGAAUCUCUGAGUAAAAACAUAAAUGAAUCAAAACUUUCAACAACGGAUCUCUUGGUUCUGGCAUCGAUGAAGAACGCAGCGAAAUGCGAUAAGUAAUGUGAAUUGCAGAAUUCAGUGAAUCAUCGAAUCUUUGAACGCACAUUGCGCCCUCUGGUAUUCCGGAGGGCAUGCCUGUUCGAGCGUCAUUUCAACCCUCAAGCCUGGCUUGGUGAUGGGGCACUGCCUUCUAACGAGGGCAGGCCCUGAAAUCUAGUGGCGAGCUCGCUAGGACCCCGAGCGUAGUAGUUAUAUCUCGUUCUGGAAGGCCCUGGCGGUGCCCUGCCGUUAAACCCCCAACUUCUGAAAAUUUGACCUCGGAUCAGGUAGGAAUACCCG